Molecule: ribosomal RNA, 253 nt
Filed under: uncultured bacterium
Lineage: Bacteria
Description: partial 16S ribosomal RNA
Rfam family: Bacterial small subunit ribosomal RNA
Source: RNAcentral
UACGAAGGGAGCUAGCGUUGUUCGGAAUUACUGGGCGUAAAGGGCGCGUAGGCGGCUGUGUAAGUCAGAUGUGAAAGCCCCAGGCUUAACCUGGGAACUGCAUUUGAUACUGCAUGGCUAGAGAUCGAGAGAGGAAAGUGGAAUUACGAGUGUAGAAGUGAAAUUCGUAGAUAUUCGUAGGAACACCAGUGGCGAAGGCGACUUUCUGGCUCGAUACUGACGCUAAAGCGCGAAAGCGUGGGGAGCAAACAGG